This 422-nucleotide ribosomal RNA is filed under the name uncultured bacterium. RNAcentral describes it as "partial 16S ribosomal RNA". It matches the Rfam family "Bacterial small subunit ribosomal RNA", at positions 362 to 776 of the family's 1533-position model. The record is from RNAcentral.
UAUUGGACAAUGGGGGUAACCCUGAUCCAGCCAUGCCGCGUGUGUGAAGAAGGUCNUCNNAUUGUNANGCACUUUAAUUUGGGNNNNNUAGUUGUAGGCAAAUACCUUGCAAUUUUGACGUUACCAACAGAAUAAGCACCGGCUAACUUCGUACCUGCAGCCGCGGUAAUACGAAGGGUGCAAGCUUUAAUCGGAAUUACUGGGCGUAAAGCGCGCGUAGGUGGUUCGUUAAGUUGGAAGUGAAAGCCCCGGGCUUAACCUGGGAAUUGCUUUCAAAACUGACGAGCUAGAGUACGGUAGAGGGUAGUGGAAUUUCCUGUGUAGCGGUGAAAUGCGUAGAUAUAGGAAGGAACAUCAGUGGCGAAGGCGACUACCUGGACUGAUACUGACACUGAGGUGCGAAAGCGUGGGGAGCAAACAGG